CACGCCGUAAACGAUGAUCACUAGCUGUUGGCGAUAUACCGAUCAGUGGCAAAGCAAAAGCAUUAAGUGAUCCACCUGGGGAGUACGGCCGCAAGGCUGAAACUCAAAGGAAUUGACGGGGGCCCGCACAAGCGGAGGAACAUGUGGUUUAAUUCGAUGAUACGCGAGGAACCUUACCUGGGCUUAAAUGUAGAGUGCAUUGGAGGGAAACUUUCAUUUUCUUCGGAACUUUUUACAAGGUGC
This 243-nucleotide ribosomal RNA is filed under the name uncultured Bacteroidota bacterium. RNAcentral describes it as "uncultured Bacteroidetes bacterium partial 16S ribosomal RNA". It matches the Rfam family "Bacterial small subunit ribosomal RNA", at positions 796 to 1041 of the family's 1533-position model. The record is from RNAcentral. Lineage: Bacteria; Pseudomonadati; Bacteroidota.